RNAcentral lists this ribosomal RNA (496 nucleotides) under uncultured bacterium. RNAcentral's name for it is "partial 16S ribosomal RNA". It matches the Rfam family "Bacterial small subunit ribosomal RNA", at positions 29 to 507 of the family's 1533-position model. The record is from RNAcentral.
AUGAACGCUGGCGGCGUGCCUAAUACAUGCAAGUCGAGCGCACGGACGAGAAGCUUGCUUUUCUGAUGUUAGCGGCGGACGGGUGAGUAACACGUGGAUAACCUACCUAUAAGACUGGGAUAACUUCGGGAAACCGGAGCUAAUACCGGAUAAUAUUUUGAACCGCAUGGUUCAAAAGUGAAAGACGGUCUUGCUGUCACUUAUAGAUGGAUCCGCGCUGCAUUAGCUAGUUGGUAAGGUAACGGCUUACCAAGGCAACGAUGCAUAGCCGACCUGAGAGGGUGAUCGGCCACACUGGAACUGAGACACGGUCCAGACUCCUACGGGAGGCAGCAGUAGGGAAUCUUCCGCAAUGGGCGAAAGCCUGACGGAGCAACGCCGCGUGAGUGAUGAAGGUCUUCGGAUCGUAAAACUCUGUUAUUAGGGAAGAACAUAUGUGUAAGUAACUGUGCACAUCUUGACGGUACCUAAUCAGAAAGCCACGGCUAACUACGUG